UACGGAGGUGGCAAGCGUUGUCCGGAUUUAUUGGGCGUAAAGAGCGUGUAGGCGGCCAUACAGGUCCGUUGUGAAAACUGGAGGCUUAACCUCCAGACGUCGAUGGAAACCGUAUGGCUAGAGUCCGGAAGAGGAGAGUGGAAUUCCUGGUGUAGCGGUGAAAUGCGCAGAUAUCAGGAAGAACACCCGUGGCGAAGGCGGCUCUCUGGGACGGUACUGACGCUGAGACGCGAAAGCGUGGGGAGCGAACAGG
RNAcentral lists this ribosomal RNA (253 nucleotides) under uncultured bacterium. RNAcentral's name for it is "partial 16S ribosomal RNA". It matches the Rfam family "Bacterial small subunit ribosomal RNA", at positions 524 to 776 of the family's 1533-position model. The record is from RNAcentral.